This 421-nucleotide ribosomal RNA is filed under the name uncultured eukaryote. Its description in RNAcentral is "bacterial SSU rRNA". It matches the Rfam family "Eukaryotic small subunit ribosomal RNA", at positions 592 to 1018 of the family's 1831-position model. The record is from RNAcentral.
CAUUAGCGUAUAUUAAAGUUGUUGCAGUUAAAAAGCUCGUAGUUGGAUUUCGGGGCGAGUCGUGUUGGUCGGUCGCAAGACUUGUUUACCGACCGGCUUGUUCUUUCUCUCCAAGACCUCGCGUUUCCUUUACUGGAUGUGCGUGUGAAUUGGAGGCGUUUACUUUGAAAAAAUUAGAGUGUUUCAGGCAGGCAAUUGCCCGAAUAUCUUAGCAUGGAAUAAUGGAAUAGGACUUUGGUUCAUUUUAUUGGUUAUUGAAUCAGAGUAAUGAUUAAUAGGGACAGUUGGGGGCAUUAGUAUUUAAUUGUCAGAGGUGAAAUUCUUGGAUUUAUUAAAGACUAACUUAUGCGAAAGCAUUUGCCAAGGAUGUUUUCAUUAAUCAAGAACGAAAGUUAGGGGAUCAAAGACGAUCAGAUACCAU